GAUGAACGCUGGCGGCGUGCCUAAUACAUGCAAGUCGAGCGGUAACACUUCGGGUGACGAGCGGCGGACGGCUGAGUAACACGUAGGAACGUACCCCAAACUGAGGGAUAAGCACCGGAAACGGUGUCUAAUACCGCAUGUGGUCUUCGGAUUAAAGCUUCGGCGGUUUGGGAACGGCCUGCGCAUGAUUCGCUUGUUGGUGAGGUAAAAGCUCAACAAGGCGACGAUCAUUAGCUGGUCUGAGAGGAUGAUCAGCCAGACUGGGACUGAGACACGGCCCAGAGUCCUACGGGAGGCAGCAGUAGGGAAUUUUCCACAAUGGGCGAAAGCCUGAUGGAGCAACGCCGCGUGCAGGAUGAAUGCCUUCGGGUUGUAAACUGCUUUUAUUGGUGACGAUUAUGACGGUAGCCAAUGAAUAAGGAUCGGCUAACUCCGUGCCAGCCGCCGCGGUAA
Molecule: ribosomal RNA, 453 nt
Filed under: uncultured bacterium
Lineage: Bacteria
Description: partial 16S ribosomal RNA
Rfam family: Bacterial small subunit ribosomal RNA
Source: RNAcentral